GUUAUAAGACGAGUCGGGAAGGUUUUUCGCUAAGGGAUCAGUCUAUGUUCCAUCAGUUAGUUGGUGAGGUAAUGGCUCACCAAGACUAUGACGGAUAUCUGGUUUGAGAGGAUGAUCAGACACACUGGAACUGAGACACGGUCCAGACUCCUACGGGAGGCAGCAGUGAGGAAUAUUGCACAAUGGAGGAAACUCUGAUGCAGCAACGCCGCGUGGAGGAUGACGCAUUUCGGUGUGUAAACUCCUUUUAUUAGGGAAGAUAAUGACGGUACCUACUGAAUAAGCACCGGCUAACUCCGUGCCAGCAGCCGCGGUAAUACGGAGGGUGCAAGCGUUACUCGGAAUCACUGGGCGUAAAGGGUGCGUAGGCUGGCUUCUAAGUCAGAUGUGAAAUCCAAUGGCUCAACCAUUGAACUGCAUUUGAAACUGGGAGCCUAGAGUUCAGAAGGGGCAGAUGGAAUUAGUGGUGUAGGGGUAAAAUCCGUAGAUAUCACUAGGAAUAUCAAAAGCGA
RNAcentral lists this ribosomal RNA (512 nucleotides) under uncultured Campylobacterota bacterium. RNAcentral describes it as "bacterial SSU rRNA". It matches the Rfam family "Bacterial small subunit ribosomal RNA", at positions 185 to 718 of the family's 1533-position model. The record is from RNAcentral. Lineage: Bacteria; Pseudomonadati; Campylobacterota.